UACGUAGGGGGCAAGCGUUGUCCGGAUUUAUUGGGCGUAAAGAGCGUGUAGGCGGCCGUACAGGUCAGCUGUGAAAACUCGAGGCUCAACCUCGAGACGUCGGUUGAAACCGUACGGCUAGAGUCCGGAAGAGGAGAGUGGAAUUCCCGGUGUAGCGGUGAAAUGCGCAGAUAUCGGGAAGAACACCCGUGGCGAAGGCGGGUCUCUGGACAGUUCCUGACGCUGAGGCACGAAGGUCAGGGGAGCAAACGGG
This 253-nucleotide ribosomal RNA is filed under the name uncultured bacterium. RNAcentral describes it as "partial 16S ribosomal RNA". It matches the Rfam family "Bacterial small subunit ribosomal RNA", at positions 524 to 776 of the family's 1533-position model. The record is from RNAcentral.